UAUGGGGUAUGAAAAGGUAAAUGGUAAAUGAAAAAAAAAAGAUUGUUGGAUAAAAGAAAGGUUUAAGAGUUGGAUGUUGAACAAAAUUCAAUCAAGCAUGCAUGCCACUCCUGAUAUGCAACCACAAGAUUCUACCCAUAAGCAAAUAGGAGACUCUUAGCCAUCCAGUAGUCUUGAAGCUCAUAUCUCUAUUCUCUACAAACUAAUGUCAAACUUGGAUUUUAGAAUGGCAA
Molecule: long non-coding RNA, 233 nt
Filed under: Elaeis guineensis (African oil palm)
Lineage: Eukaryota; Viridiplantae; Streptophyta; Magnoliopsida; Arecales; Arecaceae
Description: long non-coding RNA (EGUI_LNC063300)
Source: RNAcentral